AAGAUACUACCCUUUCGUCCGGAAAUAUUUGUCAUAAAAUUGGAUAAAAAGAGAUGUAUUUAGAACUAAAAUACAUCUAAAUACAUCUCAUUUUAUUUAUUUUGAUGACAAAUAUGUUCAGACGGAGGAAGUACAGA
Non-coding RNA from Triticum aestivum (bread wheat), 137 nucleotides. NCBI's taxonomy places the organism in Eukaryota, Viridiplantae, Streptophyta, Magnoliopsida, Poales, Poaceae. The record is from Rfam.